This 486-nucleotide ribosomal RNA is filed under the name uncultured bacterium. RNAcentral's name for it is "bacterial SSU rRNA". It matches the Rfam family "Bacterial small subunit ribosomal RNA", at positions 29 to 507 of the family's 1533-position model. The record is from RNAcentral.
AGUGAACGCUGGCGGCAGGCCUAAUACAUGCAAGUCGAACGGCAGCACAGCAGAGCUUGCUCUGGUGGGUGGCGAGUGGCGGACGGGUGAGGAAUACAUGGGAAUCUGCCCAGUCGUGGGGGAUAACGUAGGGAAACUUACGCUAAUACCGCAUGCGCCCUUCGGGGGAAAGCCGGGGACCUUCGGGCCUGGCGCGAUUGGAUGAGCCCAUGUCGGAUUAGCUAGUUGGCGGGGUAAUGGCCCACCAAGGCGACGAUCCGUAGCUGGUCUGAGAGGAUGAUCAGCCACACUGGAACUGAGACACGGUCCAGACUCCUACGGGAGGCAGCAGUAGGGAAUAUUGGACAAUGGGCGAAAGCCUGAUCCAGCGACGCCGCGUGGAGGAAGAAGUCCUUCGGGAUGUAAACUUCUGAACUAGCCGAAUAAAAGGCCUGUGGACACACAGGAGAAGAAAGUAGGCUAGGAAAAGUCCCGGCUAACUACGUG